Molecule: transfer RNA, 71 nt
Filed under: Marmota monax (woodchuck)
Lineage: Eukaryota; Metazoa; Chordata; Mammalia; Rodentia; Sciuridae
Description: tRNA.Ala
Source: RNAcentral
GGAGUAUAGCUCAAUGGUAGAGUGUUCACUUAGCAUGUACAAAACCUUGUGUUCAACUCCCAGUAGUACCA